GCCGGAGUGGCGGAAUUGGUAGACGCGGCGGAUUCAAAAUCCGCUUUUCGCAAGGAAGUGUGGGUUCGAGUCCCUCCUCCGGUACCA
This 87-nucleotide transfer RNA is filed under the name Verrucomicrobiota bacterium. RNAcentral's name for it is "Verrucomicrobia bacterium (hydrothermal vent metagenome) tRNA-Leu". It matches the Rfam family "tRNA". Rfam says of the family: Transfer RNA (tRNA) molecules are approximately 80 nucleotides in length. Their secondary structure includes four short double-helical elements and three loops (D, anti-codon, and T loops). RNAcentral also lists the same sequence under 3 other names. The record is from RNAcentral. Lineage: Bacteria; Pseudomonadati; Verrucomicrobiota.